GUGGGGAAUAUUGGACAAUGGGCGAAAGCCUGAUCCAGCCAUGCCGCGUGUGUGAAGAAGGUCUUCGGAUUGUAAAGCACCUUAAGUUGGGAGGAAGGGCAGUAAGUUAAUACCUUGCUGUUUUGACGUUACCAACAGAAUAAGCACCGGCUAACUUCGUGCCAGCAGCCGCGGUAAUACGAAGGGUGCAAGCGUUAAUCGGAAUUACUGGGCGUAAAGCGCGCGUAGGUGGUUCAGCAAGUUGGAGGUGAAAUCCCCGGGCUCAACCUGGGAACUGCCUCCAAAACUACUGAGCUAGAGUACGGUAGAGGGUAGUGGAAUUUCCUGUGUAGCGGUGAAAUGCGUAGAUAUAGGAAGGAACACCAGUGGCGAAGGCGACUACCUGGACUGAUACUGACACUGAGGUGCGAAAGCGUGGGGAGCAAACAGGAUUAGAUACCCUAGUAGUCC
RNAcentral lists this ribosomal RNA (450 nucleotides) under uncultured bacterium. Its description in RNAcentral is "partial 16S ribosomal RNA". It matches the Rfam family "Bacterial small subunit ribosomal RNA", at positions 354 to 796 of the family's 1533-position model. The record is from RNAcentral.